CCUACUUUGUUCCGCCGUGCGGAAUAUUGGUCAAUGGGCGCGAGCCUGAACCAGCCAAGUAGCGUGAAGGAUGACUGCCCUACGGGUUGUAAACUUCUUUUAUAAAGGAAUAAAGUGAGGCACGUGUGCCUUUUUGUAUGUACUUUAUGAAUAAGGAUCGGCUAACUCCGUGCCAGCAGCCGCGGUAAUACGGAGGAUCCGAGCGUUAUCCGGAUUUAUUGGGUUUAAAGGGAGCGUAGAUGGGUUGUUAAGUCAGUUGUGAAAGUUUGCGGCUCAACCGUAAAAUUGCAAUUGAUACUGGCAGCCUUGAGUACAGUUGAGGUAGGCGGAAUUCGUGGUGUAGCGGUGAAAUGCUUAGAUAUCACGAAGAACUCCGAUUGCGAAGGCAGCUUACUAAACUGCCACUGACAUUGAUGCUCGAAAGUGUGGGUAUCAAACAGGAUUAGAUACCCGAGUAGUC
This 460-nucleotide ribosomal RNA is filed under the name uncultured bacterium. RNAcentral's name for it is "partial 16S ribosomal RNA". It matches the Rfam family "Bacterial small subunit ribosomal RNA", at positions 338 to 795 of the family's 1533-position model. The record is from RNAcentral.